UAGACUUGGCUCAGACAGAGCAGAGUGCAAGACUUUUAAUCUCAGGUUUGUGGGUUCAAGCCCCACAUCGGGCAAAA
Molecule: non-coding RNA, 77 nt
Organism: Podarcis lilfordi (Lilford's wall lizard)
Lineage: Eukaryota; Metazoa; Chordata; Lepidosauria; Squamata; Lacertidae
Source: the annotation of a GenBank genome assembly